UUCGGAUUGUAGUCUGCAACCCGACUACAUGAAGCUGGAGUCGCUAGUAAUCGCGGAUCAGAAUGCCGCGGUGAAUACGUUCCCGGGUCUGGUACACACCGCCCGUCACACCAUGGGAGUCGGAAAUGCCCGAAGUCUGUGACCCAACCUUAGGGAGGGAGCAGCCGAAGGCAGGUCGGAUGACUGGGGUGAAGUCGUAACAAGGUAAC
RNAcentral lists this ribosomal RNA (209 nucleotides) under uncultured bacterium. RNAcentral describes it as "partial 16S ribosomal RNA". It matches the Rfam family "Bacterial small subunit ribosomal RNA", at positions 1292 to 1500 of the family's 1533-position model. The record is from RNAcentral.